RNAcentral lists this ribosomal RNA (253 nucleotides) under uncultured archaeon. RNAcentral's name for it is "partial 16S ribosomal RNA". It matches the Rfam family "Archaeal small subunit ribosomal RNA", at positions 474 to 726 of the family's 1478-position model. The record is from RNAcentral.
UCCCGGCGGUCCAAGUCGCAGCCACAAUUAUUGGGUCUAAAACAUUCGUAGCUUGUUAUGUAAGUUCCUUGUGAAAUUUUAACUCUUAAGGUUAAAGCGUGCAAGGAAUACUGCAUAACUUGAGACCGGAAGAAGCAAAGAGUAUGCUUGAGGUAGCAGUAAAAUGUUUUAAUCUUGAGCAGACUAACAAUAGCGAAGGCACUUUGCUAGUACGGAUCUGACAGUGAGGAAUGAAGGCUAGGGUCGCGAAAGG